RNAcentral lists this small nuclear RNA (317 nucleotides) under Erinaceus europaeus (western European hedgehog). RNAcentral describes it as "7SK RNA (ENSEEUG00000020438.1)". It matches the Rfam family "7SK RNA". Rfam says of the family: 7SK was discovered as an abundant small nuclear RNA in the mid-70s but a possible function has only recently been suggested. Two independent studies have found that 7SK RNA binds the CDK9/cyclin T complex (known as elongation factor P-TEFb). P-TEFb activates transcription by phosphorylating the C-terminal domain of RNA polymerase II. The record is from RNAcentral. Lineage: Eukaryota; Metazoa; Chordata; Mammalia; Eulipotyphla; Erinaceidae.
GGAUGUGAGGGUGAUCUGGCUGCGACAUCUUGUCACCCAAUUUGAUCGCCAGGGUUGAUCAAAUGAUCUGGCUGGAUUAGGCCGGGGUCGCCUUCCUCCCCUCACCGCUCCAUAGGCAAUCCCUCCUGAAGCUGCGGCUCUGUUCGAAGAGACAGCUUCUCAUAGAAGAUGAUCGGUCUUCGGUCGAGGGUAUACGAGUAGCUGCGCUCCCCCGCUAGAACAAUUCUAACAACAAGCUCUCAAAUAUAUAGAGGAAGAUAGAAUAUCUAGUUGGUAAAAUCAGCUAAUACAUAUUUCUUUAUGUGAAUCUUUAUAUU